Notechis scutatus (mainland tiger snake) is the source of this 1717-nucleotide long non-coding RNA. NCBI's taxonomy places the organism in Eukaryota, Metazoa, Chordata, Lepidosauria, Squamata, Elapidae. The record is from Ensembl.
AACAGAAUUUCCUUUUCCCCUGCCUUGACCUUGUAGGAGGCUGAAGCAGACCCCAACUCCGAGUCAGGAUUCCUGGGGCCCUCCGACCCGCCCAAGAAGACCCCGAAGGGGGAGACUCUCUGCAGCAAUGCUGCCAUGGGCGACUGCAAGGAGCUGGCGUGGGCCAAGGUGGGGCCGCUGCAGCCUGUCCUCCAUCAGCAGGCCAAAUUGCAGGGGGGCUCGGAAGGACCCGAAAAACGCCUGCGGGAGUCUUCCCGGCCUUUUCUGCCCCUGGUGCCGGACGUAGGGCGCCUCUCCUCCGAAUUCAGCCACAUUCUCAACUCCAGCCUCCUCAGCCAACAGGGCUUCCAGCAGCUGGACCCCCAGGUGGACACCACCAUUGCCGGAUCAGGUUUGAAUUUCCACCCAGAAAACCUGGCCGAACACCCCUUUGCGGAUGAGAGGGAUGACUCCAGCCCGGAGCUGGCAGGGAAUGACAGCGAGGUCACUCAGCCCAGCACUGGCGAGGGUGGGGCGCAGGGACUGCAGCCGGACUUAAACUACUAUAUGCGCCUGCUUCUGAGCCACUCAGACUUCGAAGGAAGCGCAACGCAGCAGGAGACGUGUGCCACAGACAGCCCACCCCGUACCAUGAAUCGGACACAGGCCGGUAACUCUCAGCUUUAUCACGAACGGUCCACAGCCCUCUGGGAUCCGGCGCAGUCCUCUUUCAGCACGAUUCGCAUCCAGCCACCCAGCAGCGCCGCCGUCCACAAAACCAAAGUCCCCCUGCCCAAAUCUGGACCGGUCUGCUUAAGCCUGGAGCCAGUGAGCCCCUCCAAACAGAACGUUGCCCACGAAGAAGGCAUCCUGUCUCCCAGCCACGUGGCAGCCGUCUCCCUCCUUCUCAAACAGUACCAGGCCAAGGGGAGACCUGUGCCCUCCGCAGAAGAGCUGUACAAAUACUUGCACAGGAUAGGGCAGAACGGCCCAGAAACCAAAGGCGACGGGAACCUGCCAGCCCGCCGGAACCUCGAUCCGAAAUUGUCCGAAUCAAUGAGGAAAGAGGGCCCUCCCAGCCGGCGGGCGGGGAGCUCAGGGCCUGGUCGCGAGAGGUCCCACCCUCCUGGGAAGACGGGGAAGAAGCUCUCCGGUUCGCUGGCCUCCCACUCUCGCAGCAGCAGCAGCAGCCGGGGAGGAGGGAGCGUGUGGAGAUAGCGUCUCGGCCAGCAGAUCACUUAUCUCCCCCCCCCCCCCCAUUUCGUGGUUUUGUCCGCUGGAUCGACACAGGUGGAGUGUCAACAACCCCCGGCUUGCUGUCCAGCUAGGGAAUCUAAAAUAAGGCCGGGAAGGGAAGUCUGUGUCGUUUUAAGCCGCCACUCUGGCAGAGUCAGAAAUGGGAACGACGUAUGAGGGGGCCCGUUUUUGGGUCACCGAGAAACGACGCUGCCAGACCUUUGCAAGAUCUACUUCUCGGGAUCUCUGAAUUUCAUCCGUCGGCGUUUCUCUUAUUCCCGAGGUCCAUCUCUGCGGUCCAUUUGCAGAGGAAGCCUCCAAACAUGGCCGCCUUAAGACUUGUGGACUUCAAACUCCCAGAAUUCCCCAGCCAGCUCCUCCCCCUCCCGCUUCGCUGAGAAUCAAGAUAUAUUACGUCGACCACAUACCCGCUAUCAAGGAAUUUAUCCCAUUUUUUUAAAAAAUGCAAUAAAGGUAGUUUAGCCACAUUGGUUCUUAUCCA